AACAGUCCAGAAGCGUCCGUGCAUUCACAUCACUCGAGAAAUGGUUACUGUUUUCCAUCAGUGCUGGUACGUCCGAUAUGGCCAAGAUCGAGAUGGAGCGUUUACUCCGAGAGGCCCAGGCUGAGAAGCAGAGACUCCUCGAGCAUCGGUUGAAGAGAAGAAAUAUGAGAGCUCUGAGGUGCUAAAGAACGACAUACUCUGCAGCAUCACAAGUAGCUACCUCAUUACGGACUUUGGUGGAGAAGGGUGCUUUGCCAAAGUUGCCAAGGGUGUGAAUUUAAUCACAUCGCAGGGCGUGGCCCUCAAAAUCCUGCAUACUGAGGAGACCGCUGAAAGAGAGAUCAAAAUGCUCGAAAUACUGAGCGUUCUUGACCCAGUCAAGAAGAAUGUGGUUCGGU
Molecule: long non-coding RNA, 398 nt
Organism: Xiphias gladius (swordfish)
Lineage: Eukaryota; Metazoa; Chordata; Actinopteri; Istiophoriformes; Xiphiidae
Exons: 3
Source: RefSeq, a predicted model, not a curated record